Molecule: small RNA, 698 nt
Filed under: Pan troglodytes (chimpanzee)
Lineage: Eukaryota; Metazoa; Chordata; Mammalia; Primates; Hominidae
Description: retained intron
Source: RNAcentral
GAAGAGGAUGGGGGGAGAGGUUGAGUCCUCUAGGACUAAAUUUGAAAAUGAUGCGAGUGGCUGAAUACCUGGAUUGGGAUGUGUCUGAGCUGAGGCCGAUUCUUCAGGAGAUGAUGAAAGAGAUUGACUAUGAUGGCAGUGGCUCUGUCUCUCAAGCUGAGUGGGUCCGGGCUGGGGCCACCACCGUGCCACUGCUAGUGCUGCUGGGUCUGGAGAUGACUCUGAAGGACGAUGGACAGCACAUGUGGAGGCCCAAGAGGUUCCCCAGACCAGUCUACUGCAAUCUGUGCGAGUCAAGCAUUGGUCUUGGCAAACAGGGACUGAGCUGUAACCGUGAGUAAUGGGAGCUGGGAGGUAGGGGAAGAGGGUCAGCCCAGCUAUCUGUGGGAGCUUGACGCUGUAAACUUAGAAAGACCUAGGUUUGAAUCCUGGGCUCUGCCACUGACUAGUUAUGUGACCUUGGGAAAGCCACAUCACUUCUUUAAGCCUUAGUUUCCUCAACUGAAAAUGAGGUAAUUGUGAGCAUUAAAAAAGCUGGUGCAAGAAAAGUGCUUCAGAUGGUGCAUGCACAUACUAUAAGAUGCAAUAAAAAAUAUCUAUUAUGAUUACUGUUGCUGUUAGACCUGGGCCUCCCAAGCAUUAUCCAGCUCAGUUCCUGCCUGGCACAUGGAUGGUGUGGGGCAGGCAUGCAGUAGCAG